This 429-nucleotide ribosomal RNA is filed under the name Pseudomonadota bacterium. Its description in RNAcentral is "Proteobacteria bacterium partial 16S ribosomal RNA". It matches the Rfam family "Bacterial small subunit ribosomal RNA", at positions 355 to 776 of the family's 1533-position model. The record is from RNAcentral. Lineage: Bacteria; Pseudomonadati; Pseudomonadota.
UGGGGAAUAUUGGACAAUGGGCGAAAGCCUGAUCCAGCCAUGCCGCGUGUGUGAAGAAGGUCUUCGGAUUGUAAAGCACUUUAAGUUGGAAGGAAGGGCAGUAAGCGAAUACCUUGCUGUUUUGACGUUACCGACAGAAUAAGCACCGGCUAACUCUGUGCCAGCAGCCGCGGUAAUACAGAGGGUGCAAGCGUUAAUCGGAAUUACUGGGCGUAAAGCGCGCGUAGGUGGUUCGUUAAGUUGAAUGUGAAAGCCCCGGGCUCAACCUGGGAACUGCAUCCAAAACUGGCGAGCUAGAGUAGGGCAGAGGGUGGUGGAAUUUCCUGUGUAGCGGUGAAAUGCGUAGAUAUAGGAAGGAACACCAGUGGCGAAGGCGACCACCUGGGCUCAUACUGACACUGAGGUGCGAAAGCGUGGGGAGCAAACAGG